UUCUAUUUAACGGUCCGUAAUUAUAGUAAAAUAAAAAUAAAAGUAUCACUACAACAAAAUUAGAUUAUAGAGACACAUGUUUAGAACAUUUUUGUAUAAGUGUCCUAUUAUGCCAAAAGUUUUUAAAAUAUCUACUAAUACCUAAAUAUAAAGUCCAAUCCAGCCAAAAAUAAAAGGUUGUUCUACUCAACCCACCCCACCCAGCUCAUUCGGGUUCUAGUCAACCCACCCCACCCAGCUCAUUCGGCUCGAUUACAAACAGAAAAGAAAAAAAAAAAAAUCGAUUGCCAUCGCUCCUUCUCCCUUCACUCAAUUCACUGAAAUCCUGGACGAAGAGGCUUUUCCUUUCGUCCUCCUCCGUCAUUGCAACUAACAAGGUAGAGUUCCGGUGGUUGCUAAAUGCUUAAAUAAGUAUGGAUAAAUUAGCAGCACUUUUUUUAGAUUAUAGCGACACUCUGUAACUGUCACUAUAUAACUAGCGACACCACAUAUGACAACACUUUUUAAAAGUAUCGAUAAUUUAGUCAGUAUUUUUUUUUUUUAUCGCUAUAGAUCAUUUUUGUUUGAGUGUAUAGAAUAGUUAAAUGCAACUUUCUAAAAUAUAGAAUUGUAAAGUGAAUAUACGAUAAACCUCAAGGGAAAAAUUGAAGUUCAUCUUUGUCUAAACGUCGUUUUACUAUUACUAUAAAAUGAUUUUAUUACUUGGGGCAAUUGCCUAUAUACCUCUGAAAAGUUUUCGAUUUUCUUAUUUAUCCCUCUUAAUUAGAAGGCUAAUAUUGAAAAUACCCUUCUUAUGUUCCAAGUCUUUCUAAUAUAUCCCUGGAGUUAAGUUCCGUCAGUUAGCUGCUAUUAUCUCUGAAAAAUUACCAUUUUGCCCAUUCCAAUAUACCCUCGUACCGUAACUCACUUAUCUUAUAUACCCUUCAUAUAACAAAUAUUUUUUUUAUUUGCCCUUCAAAUAUCAAUUAAUUAAUUAAGCACGUUGGGAGUGAGCAGAUGAACGGAUGAGAUCGAUCGCAGCUAAACCAAUCUUAGUGGCUGGAGGCAUAGUUAGUUAAUUUGGAUUCAGCAAAAAUUCGGUACAGAUAUAAUUCGGAUAAAAUUCGUCUUUUAAUUUUUAAAUUCGUUGAAAAAUACGGCUAAAAACGGAUUUGACAGUUAUUCGAAUACGUAAUAUAUACGGGUAUUAUACGUUCACCAAUUAAAAAUUCCGGAUCAAAAAGUCGACUAUAUAAUAAAUAUAUAAUAAUUAAUAUACUAUAUAUAUUAUUAUUAUAAUUUUUAUAUAUAUA
RNAcentral lists this long non-coding RNA (1292 nucleotides) under Ananas comosus (pineapple). Its description in RNAcentral is "long non-coding RNA (ACOM_LNC044703)". The record is from RNAcentral. Lineage: Eukaryota; Viridiplantae; Streptophyta; Magnoliopsida; Poales; Bromeliaceae.